CCUACGGGAGGCAGCAGUUAGGAAUAUUCGUCAAUGGGGGAAACCCUGAACGAGCAAUGCCGCGUGAACGAUGAAGGCCCUAUGGGUUGUAAAGUUCUGUUGUUUGGAACGAAUAACUAGAUGAGGAAAUGCUUCUAGUCUGACGGUACCAUUCAAGAAAGCCACGGCUAACUACGUGCCAGCAGCCGCGGUAAUACGUAGGUGGCGAGCGUUAUCCGGAUUUAUUGGGUUUAAAGGGUGCGUAGGCGGAGUGUCAAGUCAGCGGUAAAAUUUCGGGGCUCAACCCCGUCGUGCCGUUGAAACUG
This 305-nucleotide ribosomal RNA is filed under the name uncultured bacterium. RNAcentral describes it as "bacterial SSU rRNA". It matches the Rfam family "Bacterial small subunit ribosomal RNA", at positions 338 to 635 of the family's 1533-position model. The record is from RNAcentral.